This 274-nucleotide ribosomal RNA is filed under the name uncultured bacterium. RNAcentral describes it as "partial 16S ribosomal RNA". It matches the Rfam family "Bacterial small subunit ribosomal RNA", at positions 523 to 796 of the family's 1533-position model. The record is from RNAcentral.
CUACGGAGGGUGCAAGCGUUAAUCGGAAUUACUGGGCGUAAAGCGUACGUAGGCGGUUGGUUAAGUUAGAUGUGAAAGCCCCGGGCUUAACCUGGGAACUGCAUUUAAAACUGGCGAACUAGAGUUGAGUAGAGGGGAGUGGAAUUUCAGGUGUAGCGGUGAAAUGCGUAGAGAUCUGAAGGAACACCAGUGGCGAAGGCGACUCCCUGGACUCGAACUGACGCUGAGGUACGAAAGCGUGGGUAGCAAACGGGAUUAGAAACCCCAGUAGUCC